CAGUAGCCGCGGGAAAACAGAGGGUGCGAGCGUUAAUCGGAUUUACUGGGCGUAAAGCGUGCGUAGGCGGCUAAUUGAGUCGGAUGUGAAAUCCCCGAGCUUAACUUGGGAAUUGCAUUCGAUACUGGUUAGCUAGAGUGUGGGAGAGGAUGGUAGAAUUCCAGGUGUAGCGGUGAAAUGCGUAGAGAUCUGGAGGAAUACCGAUGGCGAAGGCAGCCAUCUGGCCUAACACUGACGCUGAGGUACGAAAGCAUGGGGAGCAAACAGGAUUAGAUACCCGUGUAGUCCCUGUCUCUUAUAC
Molecule: ribosomal RNA, 301 nt
Filed under: uncultured bacterium
Lineage: Bacteria
Description: partial 16S ribosomal RNA
Rfam family: Bacterial small subunit ribosomal RNA
Source: RNAcentral